Molecule: ribosomal RNA, 380 nt
Filed under: uncultured soil bacterium
Lineage: Bacteria
Description: bacterial SSU rRNA
Rfam family: Bacterial small subunit ribosomal RNA
Source: RNAcentral
AGAUUGAACGCUGGCGGCAGGCCUAACACAUGCAAGUCGAGCGGUAGAGAGGUGCUUGCACCUCUUGAGAGCGGCGGACGGGUGAGUAAUGCCUAGGAAUCUGCCUAGUGGUGGGGGAUAACGUUCGGAAACGGACGCUAAUACCGCAUACGUCCUACGGGAGAAAGCGGGGGACCUUCGGGCCUCGCGCCAUUAGAUGAGCCUAGGUCGGAUUAGCUAGUUGGUGAGGUAAUGGCUCACCAAGGCGACGAUCCGUAACUGGUCUGAGAGGAUGAUCAGUCACACUGGAACUGAGACACGGUCCAGACUCCUACGGGAGCAGCAGUGGGGAAUAUUGGACAAUGGGCGAAAGCCUGAUCCAGCCAUGCCGCGUGUGUGAA